This 822-nucleotide long non-coding RNA is filed under the name Sus scrofa (pig). RNAcentral's name for it is "lncRNA (ENSSSCG00015053728.1)". The record is from RNAcentral. Lineage: Eukaryota; Metazoa; Chordata; Mammalia; Artiodactyla; Suidae.
ACCCAGGUUGCACUCACUCCGUGUCCACAACAACCCUCCCCCCUUGACCUUAUUAGGUCUGUGCUAAUCCCAAGGUCAUGUUCAUGGCCUGAUAUGAGACGCUGGGUUCUUCUUAUAAGACAAGCCCGGUUCCAAAACCCAAAACCCACCAAGAACCAGCGUCCCUUUCAUUCCUUGCUUCUCAGUCUUUGGGGUCCUACAAAUAUUUCUCCAUCCUUAAGGCCCUGGCUGGUGUCACCACCCGGGGAACUGCAGGUGUAUUGGAUCCACUGUCUGACUGCCUUGCAACCCCUGCAUCUUCCUGAGGCCUCCAGUCUGAAGAAGCUCCAGAACAAUGACAAUCUCCACACCAUCCAGGCUGCCUUAGAGCCCAGCGAAUAUUCAAACAAGUCCUCGCAUAUGCAUGACCACAGCAGUGCUGUCGUGAAAAAUUACCAAGCCACAAUCACCAAAACAUGGAAACAGUCCAAGAGGAAAACAAUCUAAGAUCAACUCCAAAAUCAAGGGGAUGGGGGUGGAGGAAAUGAGUGGAUUAAUCAAAUGUGGCUCGGGAGUUCCCAUUGUGGCACAGUGGAAAUGAAUCCAACCAGGAACCAUGAGGAUGCAGGUUCGAUCCCAGUCCCUGCCCAUUGGGUUAAGGAUCCAGCGUUGCUGUGAGCUGUGGUGUAGGUUGCAGAUGUGGCUCGGAUCUGGCAUUGCUGUGGCUGUGGCAUAGGCCAGUAGCUACAGCUCCGUUUGGACCCCUAGCCUGGGAACCUCCAUAUGCCAUGGGUGCGGCCCUAAAAAUACAAUAGAUAAAUAAAUAAAUAAAAAUGUGUCUCA